Molecule: long non-coding RNA, 10636 nt
Organism: Passer domesticus (house sparrow)
Lineage: Eukaryota; Metazoa; Chordata; Aves; Passeriformes; Passeridae
Exons: 5
Source: RefSeq, a predicted model, not a curated record
ACAUGCUGGAAAAGCUUUAGAUAGGUCAGUGUAUUUCUUUCUUACGAGGUUUCUUUAAGAAUUCCCUUUUAUUUAUGCCAUGGUUAAGUUACCCAUCAUGAACACAUCCACAAUGAAGGGUAAGUCAUUCACAGCAUUCACAGAGGGCACUACUGUUUCCUAGUUUUCCACAGUAAAUUACUACACAGGGAGAAUCUGGACUGACAUAGUUGUUAUGCUGACAGUUAACUUUCAGUAGGUAAUACACUAUAAUAUUUUACGAGGUGAAUGAUAAACAUUUAAGACAGAUUACUGGUGAAUGUGUUAGAAUCUCCAUAACUUCAAACCUUUACAUCAGAAUAUAGUCUCCUUAAAACAUGGCCAAAGAUGCCUACCCUAAGCAAUUCAGCUGCAUUUUUGUAGCCUAUAAUAUGGAGAUAAUUAGGAUGGAUUAGAAGGUUCAUCUCUGGCCUUUCAUUGUGUGUGCAUAGCUGGUCAAAAUAAGAAUUAAAUUGUAAUAUGCUGUUAUGAUUAUACUUUACAGCUGCUUUGAAUAGGUGUCAGUGGUUUGGAAAAUACACAGGACAGAGGCCAAGUACUACAGUUCCCUCGGGUUCUUGAGCUGAGGAAAGGCUGGGGAGAGAGCUCUCUGUGGAACAGGAAGCACUUGGCUGUGGUAGGGUGAUGCUUCAUCUUUGCCUUCAGCUGUCAGUUCAUGAUGUUUUAGCUUGUACUGUUACAAGCCAAAUUCACAGAAAUUAAUUUGUAGAUAAACAAAUGUGUAAAGAAAAUAACUAGCUCAAAACAUGAUUUGUAUUACUGCUUCCUCUCUCUCCUCUAUGAAGUAAAUAACCCAGAACAUGUCACUGGAGCAAGCAGAUAUGAAAUGGACUUGUAGCUAACAUUACAGAUUUGUUUCUUUAAAACUUACUAUUCUUAUUGAUGACUUAGCAAUGAAAAUAUGACUUAUUUUCCUCACUGUACUGUAUAGUAGAUAUGUUGGGGAUUUUCAUAAAGCUUUUUUUAGUACACAAUGUUUCUACUUGUACUUUUAUGAUUAGCAAAUCUUGAUGAGAAACUGUUCCCUGUUUAGUUAGUUUAAAACUUUUCUUCUUUUGAAAGGCCUUUCCUUUUGUUUUCAAAUUUCUUUAAUGUUCAACUUUCUUUUCCCACCUGAUGUUAAAUAUUUUCUUCAAAUCUGUUCUUUUUAUCAAUUUCAGCAUUUUUUGUUAGGCUAAAUGAUCUUUUUCUCACAUUGACAUUGUAGUUUUCUUUGUUUUGUGACAACCUUGUUAAUUUCCAGAAUGAGUCAUUCCAUGCUUCCUUCAGCUUUUAAUAUUUUUCUAGCUCUGAGGGCUUUAUAGGUGCUUUUUCACAAUAAUGUCAAUUUCUUGUAGCAUUUAUCAUCUAUUCUUGUUUCAAUUUUCAAUAAUAUCUUUGAUAUUGGUCAAAUCCAUUUUUGGGUCUUCUCUUCUCUUCUCUUCUCUUCUCUUCUCUUCUCUUCUCUUCUCUUCUCUUCUCUUCUCUUCUCUUCUCUUCUCUUCUCUUCUCUUCUCUUCUCUUCUCUUCUCUUCUCUUCUCUUCUCUUCUCUUCUCCCUUCCUCUUCUCUUCCUCUUCUUUCUUCCCUGGACAAACCCACAUGUACAUUCAAAAUAUUAAAAAGGUGUGUUAAAAUGUGUUGUCCUGGCAGUGUCUGUCCCUACCAUCAUUAGGAAUAUCAUUCAGAUACACAAUACAAAACCAAACCCCAAAUUCAUUAGGAGUUGUGCUGAAAUAAAACGUGUCAGAUCUGUCACCUUGAAAUAUUGUUUUUUUUUCAGAGCACUUGCUUAUUGACAUGGGUGUUUAAUAUUGAAUGAAAUAUGUGGAGAAUUCCAUAUAUGUGGAGAAGUGUUGGCACAGGAUCUCAAACUUUUGCUUUGUUAAUAUCAAGAUACAAAAUGAAAGUAAACCUACUAUUUUUGUCCACCUCAAUUUUGUUCGGCAUGUUAGAACUUCAAGGUUAUUCAAAACCUAUUAACAAGUAAAUACUUUAUUUUCAUAUCUUAAAUGAAUUCCAUUUUCGACCUCUAUCUACUGUUACUUCCAUUUUUUAAUUCGUCUGAGGCAUUACUUUCCCAAUUAAUCUGCCUCCAAGAACACAAAAAUACAAGAAAAAUGAUGACUUUGAAGCCCUUUCUCAUCCCUUUCCUGAAAGAGAAGAUGUAACCCAAUUUGGUUUUCAAAGCUAAGCAAAAGGGCAGUACAUGUGUAUAAUUUCCUCUCAGAAAAAGAUCAAAACUUGACACUUUGACAGGAGCCUGGUACCAUCAGACUCUUGGAAGGGUUGUGUGAAAGACAAAGUCAAUUCACAUAAUCUGGUUUAAUUUUUUUACUUCCCUGUAAGAACCAGUUGAAAAAAGCUGAACUGUUAGAUGCACUAAAAAAAGCAGAGUUUAAACUUGUUUUUUUAGACAGGUAUCUGUCUGGCCUAGACAUGGAAAAGGCUUCAACACCAUGUCUUCUGGCAAAGCAAAGCAAAGUUUUAUGGGUUAGAAAUCUUAUAUAUUGUUUUCUCCCAGCUUUACCAGGUGAUUGUGAAAUAAACUCCACAUCCCCCUACAAACUCCGUCUUUUCUGGCAAAACCAGUCUCUCCUAGCUGAUACUUUAAGUGCCAAAACAGCUGCUCUUUAUUAAGUCUGCUGAAGAAUGACCUUCUAACCCCACUAUGUCUUGGAGCAGAGCGAUUAUCGAGUGUGGGAAGUAAGCAAUGAUGGAUUGAAGGGCAAAUUUUGAACAUUUUUAAUAUAUGUUUAUGUACACACAUAUGCAUCCAUGCAUGAGCACUGAGUCAAAUUUGUCUACAUUUCCUUCAUACUUGUUUUUGGCUGUUUGAUCACAAUUUACCCCUUUGUUAUGUAGCACUCAACACUACUGCUUGACGCCCACUGCUACUACUCAACACCUCUUAUGAACAAGUGUUUCCAACAUAUUUAUUGAAGGUUGAUUCUGUCUUUUAUACACAAAACCUCUCUGUGAAGAAAGAUGCACCACUGGCUGAGUUUCUGACUAUAUUUUCAUCUCUGUGGGAGCCAUGGCCAUGUUGUAAAAAUGUUCUUACUCCAGUUGCAAAUCUCUUCCUAUGUUCUAGACAAAUGGAUAUGCCUCUAGGGAUAUUUGGUUAUCUUCCGUCCUGCUAUGGAACAAAGAAAUGGAAGGAAGAAAUGAAAAUAAUAUUUCAUACUCCGUUUAACAUUCCCAUUAAUUUCUGCUUGGAUUAUUAAAUGUAAAGCUGGAAGCAGAAAGCACAGCUUUGACCACACUAUUAUAUCAUCUCACUGCCUGGUUACCUGUUAGCAACACAGUAGUUUCCCACAGAGACAGAUAAGGCUAAAUCCUGAAAUGAUAAAUGAAGAGUGGGCAGGAGUGAAUUAUUUAGCAUCCAAUUCCCUUCCAGUCUCCAAACACAAGGUAAUGUGUCCUCCUGGGAGGUGACAUUAACUUUUGCUGAACUUUCUAUAGAAGGCCAGGUAGAAGCAGGUCUGCCUUACUGCUGGGGACAGUGGUGGUAUGCAGAGCUUCUCCCAGCUCCUCUGCAGCCUACCCAGGCAUGGAAUUUGGCCCUCCACUUUGAGACACAUAAGGCACCCACUGUCCUUCAUGUCAGCCAAGCAGUGAGCUGUGCCUACACUUUCACAUGUCCCCUUCUCCUCCUGUUCUUACUGUGCUGGUGUAGCUGUCAUUACAGAGUGUAAAGAGGCAUUUUCUGUGCCAGUGAAGAAAAUUCUCUCAGUCAGUAACUGCAGAAUAAGGCACUGUUUUCAGUGGUGUCGAUGAUUAAAGGGCUCUUUUUCUGCUGCUUCUUUUAAGGAUAAUGUACAUCCUGAUAGGAAAUUUGGACAAACAAAACAAAAAUGUAUACUUUCAAAAACAUCAAUCCAAAAUGCAAAACUCCAGUGCAUGGUUAAGCUAUGUAUUAAAGGCAUGCAUAUACUUAAACAGUUGAUCAUGCAGAGUAGAACCCAUUCCUACGUUUGCAGCAGGCUUUAAUAAUAGCCCAUUUAAUGGUAGUAAAUAAAUAAAUAAAUAAAUCUCCCUGGAACAAGCCAUUAAGCUGAUAUCUGCUAGGUCAAUUCCAGCCAAAAGCAAGCUGGCAUAUUCACAGAUCUUAUCAAACAUUUUUUUCCUAUGCUGAUGUCACAUUUAUCAUUUUUUUUCUCUUUUAUUUGUGAAUUUGGUGGCAUUCUUCUUACAGCAAGUGCUGACCUACAACUACAAUAGAUAUGAACUCCCUGGAAUAAUUUAUCAUAAUCAUCAUGCUCCGGUAAACAUUGUUGAUGUUGCUGCACAGAGGAGUUUUCAAAUAACACAUAUUGAAUGAUUUCAGACUCCAGGAACAAUCAAGAAUAUGGAAAAAAAAUGUUUAGACAAAACUGCACAUUUCUUCACCUGUGGCCAAUGUCACUGGAGUGGUGUGAGCUGCCUUUGCACUCCAGUUCACUCUGAGGGAUGCUGAGCAGGGCAGUCAGUCUGGAGAAGGCCUCCCCAUCUUCUGACUGUCCUGAAGUUGGAAGUAGCCUUAAAGGACUUGCUGUGUGUAACAGUGAGAAAAACCUCCAUAACUAGAAUAGGGCAUACAUGGCUGCUGUACUAGUCAGAUGGCUGAGAAGCACUACAGCAACAUAAACUGUGAUGCCUUAAAAUGCAACACUACUGCACUUUUGUAAUAUAGGAACCAGAAGACCAGCCAUGACUGACCUUGGACCAGGGUCAUUGUAGUGCUGUCACUGUCAGUCCUCUACCACUCUCUCCACAGUAUGGAGCAGCACAAGGGACUCCCACAGCAUAACAGAGCAGAGCCUCUCCAGAUAUGGUAAUUCUUAUUUGCUUCAGCAGUGGUUUGUUCUUCGCUGAAAAGCAAGGGUUAACACCCCUAUCUCCAGCUAUGGUACUCUCCCUGUCCUGCUGAAGAAUGUAUGGUCAAGCCCUGGGGACACAGAGCCCAUACAGUAAAUAUCUGAGCAUAUUGCAUCUGCCAGAGGGUGAAGUGAGAGGUGAGCAGGGCUGCAGCUGAUGCUCAGCAGAAUUUCCAGGCUGAUGCCAUUCCCAUGCUACACAUCUGCUGCAGGCUGGAGCUGCUGGGGAUGGAGGCAUCACAAAGAAAUGAGAUUUAAGUAUUGGUGAAAUAACAGUCUGGGCUCUGUCUCACCAGUGCCUAAGCUGUGCUUCUUCCAAACCAAUUUAAUGUCCAGCCCUCACCCAAUCAUUCAUGUGUUGUGCUGCAUUUGUACAGACAUUGACGCAUCAGCUACAAAAGAAACAUGCAUUUAAUAGACUGAGAUGAAGAUAUGGGUGAAAAGCCUUUACAGAAAGGAGAAAAAGUACUGUGGGCCAUGAUGAUUUCUUCUUUUAAAACAGACAUAUCUUUCUACCAGUUCACACACGAAAGACGAAAUCAUGCUAAUUUUUUUCUCAAAAUAAACAAGAAAUUACCUCUGUUAACUCUGCAGUAGGUGCUCUUUUCUUGUGCACUUGUUGCUGCAGAAGCUCCCUCACUUCACUAAAUGUAUGGAAGUUCAGCCUUCCCGGCUCACCAGGGAGGGCAAAAUAUCUGCAGGUGAAACCCACCUGCACAGCUGAGCAUACUUUCAUUCUGUAUUCCAUCUUAUAUCCCAACAAGUCCAGUUGUCCUUAUCCUUUUCCCUUGGUGAAUAUCAGAAGACUUCUGUUGGUUUUCAAGGAUGCAGAGAAUGCAAGAUAGCUCUCUCUAAAACAUUUUGUUGAAGCCAUGGAGUACAGUCAGCAGCAAGACACUGGCUUUAGCUGUGUCUUGUACCAAAUCCACACAGUCUGCUCUGCAUCAAAGACUUACAUCUUCACUUCUGUUAGAAAGAGACACCCACCAGGCUACUCUUCUGGACAGAGCUGAGAUAGAACCUCUCAGCUGCAGAGGCAAAACUGAGCGCUUCUUUUCCAAGGAUGAAGGGCUGGACUGCUCCUCCUCAGGAAACAGCACAAUAAAUCGGUUUGCUGCUCCUGCAGGGAAGGACCAGGGAGGACAGCAGAUGCCAGCUGCUGCCUCUUCUCCCCACCGCCACUGCCCGGGCCAGUAUAACCUGGCUGCUUUCUGAGAAGCAGAAGCAAACUUGGCUUCUUAGAGACAGAAAAGGAAGCAGCAGAGUUCUGUUCAUAUGCUACCCUUUGUAAUUACCUGUUGCAAAAAGCUGUUUACAUGUCCUUUCCUGAGUUCAUGCCAAGGUAAAAUAUUCUCUGUUUCAACCAGAAACUCUGUUUUAAACUUGGGAAUCUUUCCAAAGUGUAUCUAUAACAAGACAAGGUAUUGUUAGACUGACAGCCUGUAGUUUUUAUUUGGAAAAGUAAUGUCGGAAGAAACUCCUAUACAGCACUGAGACUCAUCUUUAUAAGAAAACAAAACCAGACAAAAAUAAUGCUCUUCUACUCUAUGGGCUUUUCUGAAAUUUUGAUUCUGUCAAGAGAUUUGAAGAUCUAAAAUAGGACCACCUGAAUGUCCUGAGCAUUGAAUAAUAUCUCUAGUUGUUGAAUAUUUGACUCUUCCUGAAUUUAGGAUCAAUGGUAACUUUGUCGAUAGCUCAAUAGAAAAUAUCAGAGUGAAAAGCAGAGCCAAAUCAUGAAUAUUUUUAUUAGAUUACAAAAAUAAAACUUGCCUCAUCAUUUCACCAGUCACAGAUCAUCAGUUAUAUUUCAUUGGCCAUAUUAUUUUUGAACUGCCUCUAACAAAAUGCUACAGACUUUUGACUUGUGUUUGUAGAAAUGAGAAUAAUUGAAAAAAAAGUAUGUGAGUCAUUAGAGAAAUAGUACCAGUCCAAGGGAUUUCCCUCAGAAAGUGAGCUUAGGUGGUAUAUAAUAUAUAUUUAUUAAUUCAGCAACUUAAUAUUUGUGUAUAGCUCAGUUAGAGCUAUUCCAAUGAAUUAUGUUGCACAAUAACUUCAGACAUCUCUACUAAUCCUACAGAACAUCAAAAGCAAUGCUGGCUGCUAUUCAGCACUGGGUUCAGUGCCAUGACAACAGAUGGAAUUCAUGGCUGAGGAGUAAAAAAACACACUUCCAUCCCCCUGUCACUUUUUGUAAGAAUCCCUAAAGAGAAAAUUAUGCAAAAUAGUCAAAACUGAAUGUAGAACAGGAAUGCCUGUGACUGUGUAAAUCUGCAUUUACACAAAACCAUUUAUUUGUGAAACAGAAUGUAAGUGGUAAAAGUAGAUAUGGAAAUCUUAUUUAAAUUCCUGCAAAGGACAAAGAGGAGGAGGAGGGAAAAUGGGCUGGAUCUCUCUUCCUGUGAGUUCAUGGAGAGCAGACUGAAAUUCAUAAUAUUAUGGUCACAGGCAGAUGACAUGAGAAUGAUUUUUUAUGUUGGUAAAUGAAUGUUCCUAUGUUUUGUGAAGAGAUCAUUCUGAGACAUUUUAUCUAAAUCUGUACAUUUUGCAGUACAAUUUAAUUUGGCAAUAUUCUGAUAACAGUAGAUUGAACAUUUUGGACAUUACUGUCCUGUACUUAAGAAAACAAUAAAUGAAAACCUGACAGUUAAAAGUGCUUGUUGGUUUACAUUACCCAUUAAAAAGAAAACUAUUCAUAUGUAUGGGAAUUGUAAAUGUGAAGGAAAAUAGGUCUUUCACUUAUUUUUGUUGAUGAUUGUUUUGUUUUUUUAAACCUAGUUAACAUCCCACGGAUAUGGUGAUGAGUCAGAUGUGUCUACUAGGCAACUGCUAAAGACCACUAUUACUUCAAAAGACCAGGCAGUCAAACUUACAAGUUUACAAGAAAAAAUAACUAUAUUGAUGCUCAAAAAAGGUCAAGUAACAAUAGGCUCAGUGUUACAGGUAGAAGUGAGAAUUCUGGGAAGUGAGAUGAAACUAAUAGAAAAUGUAGUCUUAAGACUGGAUGCAGCAAUGCAUUUUUCAAAGAUUUGCUAAGGAUUUUGCAUGAGCAGAUAAUACAUGUGCAAAGGAAUAUAAAAUAGAAAUGGCAACUCUUUUAAGGUACCCUCUGGCUACUUAUCCCUCUGUCUAAUAGAAGGACAGUGCUCCAUAAAUAGAUUUUCAGAAUUGUCUUCACAUUUUUCUAGGCAGUAAAAAUGUGCUGUCCAUCAGAACCAUCUGUAGUACAGAACAGAAGCAGGAGCGAUUUUUUCCUGCAAAACUCACCAUAUGGUUCUGCAUUCAUUUUAUUUUGGAAUGCUUGUUUAGUAUCCUGGUGAUUGGGUGCUGCAGGAAAAAACGGAAUGUUUUAACAUUUCCUCACCUAGCUACAAUGUCUGUAGCAAACUAGCAGUGGUUUGCCAUUGACAGAAUACAAAAGGAGUGAAAUAUAUGACUUGCUUGACUAAAUAUAUUAUGCCUAUAUGGUUGUCCUUUGAAGAGCUUUGACUCCAGGUGUUCUUGUGUUGUAGCCUUUUCUAUGUCACUGAGUAUUUUUUAAUUUCUUUUUUUUUAAACAUAUGGUGAAAGCAAAAGGCUGAUAAUAGCUGCAAAUUUUUUUUUUUAUUAUUUUUUGACUUGUUCUUUAAUUUAUUACAGUAGUUAUGACUCUGAAGUAUCACUGUAAUUUUUUUCCUGGAAUACCUGAUGUUUGUGUCCGGGUCUUUGGUCUGACCUAUGACAAAGAACAAGCACAGUUAUGAAAGACUUCUCUGCUCAAGCAGUGUGACUAGACGCUCAGCUGUGCAUAGUUGCAUUCAAGGGUAUUCAGUUGCAGAUUUUAGAUUUGAGGGGCAUUUUGAAAAUAUGGUCAAGAGUAUGUGUCAGCUAUGUGUCAGCCUUGUUUUGGGGUCCUGGUUCUUAUACUACAAAAGCAUUUAUUUGGCCUUUAGUAAGACUCCUUCACCUGAUGUUUUACAUAAAAUUUAAUGUAUGACUAAAUCAGCCUUGUUAAAGCUCCACAUCACCUCUCUGGAGACAGAAAUUAAUAAUGAUAGAGUUAUGUCUUUAUAAGGCUAAGGAGGAUUUUAAUGUGCUCAUUAAAAAAGAAAUUCACUAACAAAGUUAACAUUGUCAUACAAUAGAAAAAUUCCUAAUUUUGUGGUGCACAAUGGGGCAUCCAAUUUAGGAAGGGUCAGUGAGCUUCAGAGGUCCCUUUCCUCCUUUUUGGAAUGAAUACUUUCUUUGGAAAUCUACCUUUUGAGGAGAGGGUGGAAGGCAGCAAGACCUUUUGAGAUGACAAUGAGAUCAAAAAAGAAGGAGUGAUUAUUCAAAUCCCUCAGAGAAAUAAAAGCCUGAAGUAAGAAGAACUGAACCCAAAAAGGACCAGGCAGGGCGGGUAGCGGGCAAAGGGGAAUGAGAAGCAGAAACUGAAUGCAGAGGGCAAGGCCUGAAUGGGAAGCAGUGAAAGAAUUAGGAGUUGAAAAGGGAAGGAGGAGGGGAAAUUAGGGCUGAAGAAGAGAAGAAAGCAGUGAGAGGCACAUCAUGGUGAAUGAAGCAGAGAUGGAAAGUUUAUUCUUCUCAGCCCAUAGCAGUUCUUUUGCAUACUUUAUGUGAUGGAUCUAUUUUGCUAAAGCACAGCUUAAUUGUGUUGCUGGUCCUGAAGUCAGUUUUAUUAAAUUUUCCAUUUUUGCAUCUGUUGUCAGAGUGGGCCACACUGGUGAGUGGCAGGUACUGUAAAGUUUCAGAAGGCCAUGAGACAGCACAUCUAGUCCUUCACUUGGUUGCUUAGAUACACCAAUGAAUUGUGUUAGGAAUUUUUCACCUCACAUUUUCACUCCCCUAUGCUUCAACUAUUGCAUUUUAGAUAAUAACAUGAGCAGACUCCAGGCAGGCAAAAAAUAAAUUAUUUUUAUGAAGAAAGCUUCUUAUAGCACAGCUGCCAUAACAGCAAGCCCUACUAGAUCAAGUAGACUUUCUCAUAAUUUUUCUAAAAUUAUUAUUUUGCAACCUCUGUACUUAACAUCCCAAUUAAUUAAACUUUAAGUGAACUUCCAACUCUUAAAAAAUUAAAAUCAUUGUCCUUAUUAGACAAAGAAAAACCUAGAUUUAUCCUAUAGUAAUUUUCUUCAGGAUUUGAGAAUAAUAGUCCAGCUGUAAGUGAAGUUUCCCUUUCAGUACUGGGACGUAAUAAGACAGAAAUCAGUGUCAUCUCCAGGCAUGGCCUGCAGCUUUGAAAGAGUCAGCACACAGAAACCUUGUGAAGAGUUAUCUCCUUUUCUGUCAUUUAGCCUAUUUUAUAAUUUGGCUCACAUUGAGUCUCUUUCUGGCUGCUUAGAGAUCUGGGAGAGCUUCAUGGGUCCUAGACAUAAAUUGAGUCUAACCUCUUUGAGAAAGAAAAUAAGGUGAAGCAGGUGUCAAGGAGGGAGAGGGAGAGGAAGAGGAUGAUGAGGGCAAGAUCAAGGAAGAUGAUGAAGAUAAUAAUGAGAACAAGGAGGAGGAAAAUAAAGAGAGAGAAAGGGAGGGAAAAAGCAAGAGAGGAAGAGCGAAGGAGCUGAUUAUUAAUGAAGUUUAGCUAAGAAGUUACAGGAAAGAUGGUGGAUUUCUUAGCAGUGAAAAACCUGUUUUACAAAUAUUUAAAUGCAUUUUAAAUGUUUAAAUAUUUUAUUUCAUCCCAUGAAUUUAAGAAAAAUAAUUUCAGAAAUAAAGAAAGUGCACUGAAUCUGGCUGUAUUCUUAUUUUUUUUAUUUAUGAAGAACAACCAAUGCAUGACACUACACUUUA